This 140-nucleotide ribosomal RNA is filed under the name uncultured bacterium. RNAcentral's name for it is "partial 16S ribosomal RNA". It matches the Rfam family "Bacterial small subunit ribosomal RNA", at positions 355 to 509 of the family's 1533-position model. The record is from RNAcentral.
UGGGGAAUAUUGGGCAAUGGGCGCAAGCCUGACCCAGCAACGCCGCGUGAAGGAAGAAGGCUUUCGGGUUGUAAACUUCUUUUAAGAGGGACGAAGGAAGUGACGGUACCUCUUGAAUAAGCCACGGCUAACUACGUGCC